Molecule: non-coding RNA, 85 nt
Organism: Felis catus (domestic cat)
Lineage: Eukaryota; Metazoa; Chordata; Mammalia; Carnivora; Felidae
Source: Rfam
GCCUGAGUGGCUCAGUCGGUUAAGCGUCCGACUUCAACUCAGGUCACGAUUUCACGGUCCGUGAGUUUGAGCCCCACGUCAGGCU